AUUGAACGCUGGCGGCAUGCUUUACACAUGCAAGUCGAACGGCAGCGCGGGCUUCGGCCUGGCGGCGAGUGGCGAACGGGUGAGUAAUACAUCGGAACGUGCCCAGUAGUGGGGGAUAGCUCGGCGAAAGCCGGAUUAAUACCGCAUACGACCUGAGGGUGAAAGCGGGGGAUCUUCGGACCUCGCGCUAUUGGAGCGGCCGAUGGCAGAUUAGCUAGUUGGUGGGGUAAAGGCCUACCAAGGCGACGAUCUGUAGCUGGUCUGAGAGGACGACCAGCCACACUGGGACUGAGACACGGCCCAGACUCCUACGGGAGGCAGCAGUGGGGAAUUUUGGACAAUGGGCGAAAGCCUGAUCCAGCAAUGCCGCGUGUGUGAUGAAGGCCUUCGGGUUGUAAAGCACUUUUGGCGGGAACGAAAAGGACUGUGCCAAUACCACGGUUCGAUGACGGUACCAGCAGAAUAAGCACCGGCUAACUACGUG
Molecule: ribosomal RNA, 484 nt
Filed under: uncultured bacterium
Lineage: Bacteria
Description: partial 16S ribosomal RNA
Rfam family: Bacterial small subunit ribosomal RNA
Source: RNAcentral